This 336-nucleotide ribosomal RNA is filed under the name uncultured bacterium. RNAcentral's name for it is "bacterial SSU rRNA". It matches the Rfam family "Bacterial small subunit ribosomal RNA", at positions 28 to 361 of the family's 1533-position model. The record is from RNAcentral.
GACGAACGUUGGCGGCGUGCUUAAUACAUGCAAGUCAACUGAAGCACCGGUAGUAAUACUGGUGUGGAGGUGGCGCACGGGUGAGUAACACGUAGGUAAUCUGCCUUCAGGUCUGACAUAACCCCGAGAAAUCGGGGCUAAUAGCAGAUGAUGCAGCGGCUUGACAUCAAGACAGUUGUUAAAGCUUCGGCGCCUGAAGAUGAGCCUGCGUCUGAUUAGCUAGUUGGCGGAGUAAUGGCCCACCAAGGCUACGAUCAGUAACUGGUCUGAGAGGAUGAUCAGUCACACUGGAACUGAGACACGGUCCAGACUCCUACGGGAGGCAGCAGUAAGGAA